GGGCUGGGAUCCCCUCCUUUCUACGAGAAAGGUCACACGGCCACUCUCGCUCACUCGAUGAGCGACACGGUCGUGCCAAUUCACGGAUCGAUGCCUCCGGGCAUCAUCUGCAUGGGACCGUUGGUCCCGGCGCCCGCUCGCGUGUGCUCGUCACACGUCAGUCGGCGCCACCCCGCUUCCUCCUGCGUCCUUCCGUUCCCCCAACCGCGUGUCGGGGGUAUAGCUCAGUUGGCUAGAGCACUAGAUUUGCAUUCUAGGGGUCAAGGGUUCGAGUCCCUUUACCUCCAGCAUCGAGCCGCUGGUAUCGGGUUGCCGUUGUAAAGGGACUCGAAACGAGCGAGCGCGCACCUUUUUAAUUUGGAUUAGACGCCGUUCGCGGCGUGAAAUACGAGCGCACAUCCGUUGUGCGCGAUUGGUCUUUGACACACAUAGGGAUGGGAAGAAGAGAGAAACGAGCGAUGCAGUGGUGUAUCGGCACGGGAGCGUGUCGGUGCACUGGAAUCGGGCCGCGGCGCUGAGGCGGUGUGGUCCGAGGCGAGUUGGCUGUGCGCGACCUGGAGACGGGGAGUGAGCAGCGAACAGAGAGCGUCGUGAGAUACUCAUAUGGUCAAGCGAACAAGGGUCUACAGUGGAUGCCUUGGAGCCACCUGGCGAAGAAGGCCGUGGUAAGCUGCGAAAAGCGACGGGGAGGAGCACACAUCCUGCGAUCCGUCGAUUG
RNAcentral lists this unclassified non-coding RNA (718 nucleotides) under uncultured Spirochaetota bacterium. RNAcentral describes it as "uncultured Spirochaetes bacterium partial contains 16S ribosomal RNA, 16S-23S ribosomal RNA intergenic spacer, and 23S ribosomal RNA". The stretch from base 606 to 718 matches the Rfam family "Bacterial large subunit ribosomal RNA", at positions 1 to 113 of the family's 2925-position model. Lineage: Bacteria; Pseudomonadati; Spirochaetota. The record is from RNAcentral.